RNAcentral lists this long non-coding RNA (779 nucleotides) under Brachypodium distachyon (stiff brome). RNAcentral describes it as "long non-coding RNA (BDIS_LNC005440)". The record is from RNAcentral. Lineage: Eukaryota; Viridiplantae; Streptophyta; Magnoliopsida; Poales; Poaceae.
ACCUAAAAAUCUGCAAAAUUACAUUGACCCCUGAAAUAUGGUAAUUUCCAUUGUAGUUGUAUAUUACCUGAAUGAUAUCAAAAAAUUAUAAUAAUUCUGCUUCCGUGCUUUUUUUCCAGUUUCAAGCAGCCAGAGGAGCAUGCCAUACAAAAUCUCAGUCUAAUAUUCACAAUGAAUAAUGGAAGCUCUUUUGACUUUUGAUUAACCUUCAGAAAGCCAAAAGUAUAACUCAUCCCUUCCCCAUUGGUUUCAUUCGGAAAAAAUGACACAGGAUAUAGUCGAGCCUCAGAAUAAAACACAUAAAGAACUGUCAUUGCACUCAUCUAAGGGCUGUAAAAGCAACCGGUAGGAACUUAGCCUAGUUCAGUUGGGCGGGAGAGUGGAUAUGUACAUGCCCACUGCCCACCAGGCCUGCCCAACGACCAGAUUCAAAUCCUCUUCAAAUUGAAUUUGGGUACCUACUGUUCCAGUUAAUUAUAUUGACAUCUAGUUCCUCCUAGGUAUCAUUCAUUGUAUAGGCAACUGGCAUUCGUAACCACUAUAUAUAAUCAGCAAAAAAAAAAGGAAAACAUGUUAUGGUUUUAAAUACUACUACCAGCUACCAUAAAUAUGGCACAAAGCAUGUAUACACACAGGUUUACACAAAAAUUUACCUAAACAAACAAGAGCUUUCAUGUGUAACGAUUACACAAACUGAGCUUCACUAAAAAGGCAUUGUAGGCAGAACCUUCACCCUGAACCAGGGUUAUCAACAAUGUUGUUACUCAAGGCUAAAUUUU